GAAAGGGGAACAGAUUUCCAGGUCAGUUCCUCAAAGUUUCUCUGAACCUUCAACCUCCAGGAGCCCCACUUCCUGUCAACCAAGGAGAGAAAAGAAGUCUCCUGCUACUGCAGCUAAUCAUGAUAAGCAGACAUAUCAGACUUUGAAAAAACUUGGAAAGACUUACAUAAACUGAUGCAAAGUGAAGCGAGAACCAGAAGAACGUCGCACACAGUAACAGCAAUAUCAUACAAUGAACAACUAUGAAUGGUCUCAUUAUUCUCAGCAAUACAGUGAUCCAAGGGAAUCUUGGAGAACUGAUGGAGUCUGAAUGCAGAUCAAAUAUAUUAUAUUUCACUUUCUUUUUUUGAGGCCUCUUCCACAAAUUGACUCAUGGAAAAAUGUAAAAUCUAUAUCAGAUUUCUAACUGUCUCAGAGAGGGGAUGAAUUUGUAAUUUAAAUUUUUUUUAAAUUUACAAUUAAAAAAAGAAUGUUAAUAGUUAUUUUUACAGGUAACUGGAGAAAAAAUAAAAUAUUAAAAAUAGUGAUAUCA
This 532-nucleotide long non-coding RNA is filed under the name Monodelphis domestica (gray short-tailed opossum). Its description in RNAcentral is "lncRNA (ENSMODG00000040675.1)". Lineage: Eukaryota; Metazoa; Chordata; Mammalia; Didelphimorphia; Didelphidae. The record is from RNAcentral.